RNAcentral lists this long non-coding RNA (276 nucleotides) under Helianthus annuus (common sunflower). RNAcentral's name for it is "sRNA HanXRQr2_Chr17g0820771". The record is from RNAcentral. Lineage: Eukaryota; Viridiplantae; Streptophyta; Magnoliopsida; Asterales; Asteraceae.
AAGCUACACUCUGGUCGACCAGAGAAACCCCAGGGGCGACACCCACCAUUCCAAACCCUAGUUCACAAGAAAUCCUGCAAAUUGAAGGCCUUAAUCAGUUAGAAAUCGAAAUCCAAGCAUAGAAUCGUGAUCACCUCGUCAAAGGGAUCCUAAGGUAUGGAUGAGUUUCCCUUGGAUGGUGAUCAAGCAUGUUGUCAAGAACCGAACACGCGCAAGGAAUCCGGGACGUCGAGCGGACACGCCGGAGGAGAUACACGCGGAAAAGGAGUGCUUUAA